AUGAUAGCUGGAAAGCACAUAUUUACUUCAGUUUUGCUUUCUUAUUUUUUUUCUUUUCAGUUUGUAUUUACCAAAUUGCCAAAACAGCAGCGAUUUCUGAGAAGCCUGGGUUUCUUCCAAGCUGGAAAGUCCUUUUAUGCCGCUAUGAUCACAAGGAGGCACUCCCUACACUCAAGACCAGAACUCAGCUUCUAAACACUCAAAAGUGAUUAGAAGUUCCCAAUGAAAUGAUGGGAAGUUAAUUACCUUACUCCAUCUGGACUCAUAUGUAGUGCUGUACUGUCCAUGUUGAAAAUAAUGGGACCACAUUUUAACAGUAUGGUUUUAGGUAUGUGUGAAAGCCAUGGGCAACUCUCCAACUACUCAGAUAUUAUAGUGAUAGAGGCUACAUGGGCACUUGUUUAGACAGACAGUUGAACAGAUUUCAAGUGCAAGUCUUCCAAAAUGUGUCUUUUAUAAUACGUUGCUGCUUUUUAACAGCUUGCUGGUGAUAGAUUUUUAAACCUGAAGUAUAUGAAUAAUUCAAGAGAGAAAAUGUUGCACAGUAAUGUUGAUUCAGUAACACUUUAUAUGUUCAUUAGCUAGUGUGCAUUAUAAUUGAACUUUUACAUGUGACAGCCACAUGAAUGCCAAAUGAGUACAUUAUGAUUAAUGUUAUUGCAAUGAAUACCAAAUGAUUUUUUAAUGACUGAGCUGUUACCAUUUUCUUGUUCAUUCUGUGGCAUGCAAAGUUUCAGUUCUUUUUCAAAAUUGAAUCUAAGACAAUGAUAUGAAUGGCUGAUUGUAUUUUAACGAGGAACAUACUUGGUGCUAAGUCAUUAUUCUCCAAAAUCCCAUGGCAAUUUUGUUGACUGUUUGAAAAAAAGCAACAGGUAAAGAAACUGUUUUCCCAUAAGUUGAUAAUGAAUGAAUGAUUACUCAGUUGAAAUUCUUAGAUAGCAGUGAUCCAUGGAUGCUAACCAGACAUAACAAAGAAAAGAAAAUGGAGGUGACUGCUAAGGCAAUAAAUCAUCUUUCUUUUUGCA
This 1025-nucleotide long non-coding RNA is filed under the name Coturnix japonica (Japanese quail). Its description in RNAcentral is "lncRNA (ENSCJPG00005000853.1)". Lineage: Eukaryota; Metazoa; Chordata; Aves; Galliformes; Phasianidae. The record is from RNAcentral.